This 299-nucleotide long non-coding RNA is filed under the name Mytilus galloprovincialis (Mediterranean mussel). Lineage: Eukaryota; Metazoa; Mollusca; Bivalvia; Mytilida; Mytilidae. The record is from RNAcentral.
CACUUGGAUAACUAUACAUACACUAGUGGUUACUCAACACGCUUGUGUACAUGACGUCUUAAAGGAAAACAACGGACAAAUAGCUACUUUUACCAUGUUAAAUCUCCCAUGAUACUUAAUAAUGUGUAUCUUUUAGUAGAAAGUGCACAAUAUAAAGAAUGAGAAUUAGUAAAAACAAUAUUUUCGACGUGGCAUGCCUUGGACCUCUGCGAUUCAAUAAAACAAUCAAAUUAUAGGUUGCAAGAAGUUCAACUGACUACGAGAAGUGUUUUUGGCGUUUGUAUUUAUUUAAUUUUGUU